ACAUUCUUGGCAGUAGAAUAACAAGUCCCCAAGACACUCUAGCUGGCACUGCUCUGAGGACACUUUCUGGUAUAGGGCUUCAUCUUCAUCUUCAUCACUGCAAAGAGAGAUGUAGCUAGAAGAUUAAAUAAGAUGGCAGUGUGAGAAGUGAGGCAGAAACCUCCUCCCAAAACCACAUAUAACACGAAAAUACAGCAAAUAUAACUAAUCCUGAAAAAGCAACCAGAAAGAAGACUGCAACAGAUGGCCUACAUCUGGGGAAAAGAGAGGACCUCGUGGAAAAGGAGCUGUACAUGUGUGGAAAUACAAACAUGAUGACCCUAUUCAGAAUAGAACUGACUGAAUCUGAACACUGAAAUUCAGUACAGGUUGUAACUUGAUUUUACCAUUAAAGAUUAAGCUAAUCAAAUGUUGCCUCCUAAAAUAUCACAGUGAUCCUUUUGCUAGUAAUUUUCCAGAGCGUCUCAUGCACUUACUGAGUUCAAUUAAGACUUGUGAGGAGCAAAAGGGUAAGGUUAGUUACUCAAUAUACUAUUUUGCACUGUGAGUGCUUUCAGAAGAUAUUAUAUAAAAUAAUCUUUUUCAAAAGAUUUGAAAGAGUCUCCCUGAACCAAAAAGAGAAACUGGCAGUUUUCUGAGCACCAUUAUGAGCUAAAGUAUGCAGUGAACCUACAAAAGGUACCUUAUUUCAUCCCCAUAACUCAAGUGUUAAAUUUAAGUUGCCUCAAAUGGUACAGAUAAUCCACCCUGGAGCCAGAUUCCAACAUAGGUCUGUUUGACUCAAAAAGCCAGAUGCUUUUCACUGCAUUAUACAACAGAAUCUGAACCACAGCAUUUACAAAAUACAACACUUUCAUCUCCCAUAGCUUUGAAAGAUACUUCUUUUGGUCCUUUGCAUGUUAUUUGAGGUCACAGGUCAAUUAGAGAUGGUAACAUCAUCCUGCCUUAGGGAGGAGCUACAGGUUAACCCUUUACUAUAAAGCCCUUUGUACUUCUUUAAUUAAUACCAUGUGCAAAUUAAUACCAUAUUGUCUUUUCUAAACAUAGAGAGAGAGAGAGAAAGAUUGGUCCCUGGACCAGCUCUGGCACUCACUCGUAUGAUGUGGACAAGUCACUUCCCAAUCUUUUGAACUUUGUUCCCUUUACUAUAAAAGGAGGGAUUAAUUUGCUAAAACCCAAAGAAUGUACCACACCAAGAGUGAACUCUAAUGUAAACUAUGGACUGUGGACAAUAUUGAUGUGUCAGUGUAGGUUCUUCGACUGUAACAAACAUCCCACUCCGAUGUGAGAUGCUGAUAGUGGGAGAGGCUGUGCACGUACGGGGGCAGAAGAUAGAUGGGCACUCUCUGUACUUUCUGCUCGAUUUUUGUGGGAACCUAAAACUGUUUUUAAAAACCAAGUCUAUUAAAA
Molecule: long non-coding RNA, 1410 nt
Organism: Manis pentadactyla (Chinese pangolin)
Lineage: Eukaryota; Metazoa; Chordata; Mammalia; Pholidota; Manidae
Exons: 3
Source: RefSeq, a predicted model, not a curated record